AGAUUGAACGCUGGCGGCAGGCCUAACACAUGCAAGUCGAGCGGCAGCACGGGUACUUGUACCUGGUGGCGAGCGGCGGACGGGUGAGUAAUGCCUAGGAAUCUGCCUGAUAGUGGGGGAUAACGUUCGGAAACGGACGCUAAUACCGCAUACGUCCUACGGGAGAAAGUGGGGGAUCUUCGGACCUCACGCUAUCAGAUGAGCCUAGGUCGGAUUAGCUAGUUGGUAGGGUAAAGCCUACCAAGGCUACGAU
Molecule: ribosomal RNA, 253 nt
Filed under: uncultured soil bacterium
Lineage: Bacteria
Description: partial 16S ribosomal RNA
Rfam family: Bacterial small subunit ribosomal RNA
Source: RNAcentral